CUGGCGGCGUGCUUAACACAUGCAAGUCGAACGGAGCGAAUGAAAGCUUGCUUUUAUGAGCUUAGUGGCAAACGGGUGAGUAACACGUAGACAACCUGCCGAUAGGAUGGGGACAACAUUCCGAAAGGAAUGCUAAUACCGAAUGAAGUGUGGGGGAGGCAUCUCCCCUAUAUGAAAGAUGGCCUCUAUAUAUAAGCUAUCACCUAUCGAUGGGUCUGCGUCUGAUUAGCUAGUAGGUAAGGUAACGGCUUACCUAGGCGACGAUCAGUAGCCGGUCUGAGAGGAUGAACGGCCACAUUGGGACUGAGACACGGCCCAGACUCCUACGGGAGGCAGCAGUGGGGAAUCUUCCGCAAUGGGCGCAAGCCUGACGGAGCAACGCCGCGUGAGUGAAGAAGGUCUUCGGAUCGUAAAGCUCUGUUGAAGGGGACGAACGUACAUAGUGCGAAUAGUGCUGUGUAAUGACGGUACCUUUGAGAA
This 480-nucleotide ribosomal RNA is filed under the name Selenomonas sp. oral clone BP2-20. RNAcentral describes it as "bacterial SSU rRNA". It matches the Rfam family "Bacterial small subunit ribosomal RNA", at positions 36 to 488 of the family's 1533-position model. Lineage: Bacteria; Bacillati; Bacillota; Negativicutes; Selenomonadales; Selenomonadaceae. The record is from RNAcentral.